This 71-nucleotide microRNA precursor is filed under the name Pan troglodytes (chimpanzee). RNAcentral describes it as "mir-3689 microRNA precursor family". It matches the Rfam family "mir-3689 microRNA precursor family". Lineage: Eukaryota; Metazoa; Chordata; Mammalia; Primates; Hominidae. The record is from Rfam by way of RNAcentral.
GGGAGGUGUGAUCCCGUGCUCCCUGGGAGGUGUAUCCUUUGCUCCUUGGGAGGUAUGAUCUCGUGCUCCGU